AUUGAACGCUGGCGGCGUGCUUAACACAUGCAAGUCGAGCGGUAACAGGCGUAGCAAUACGUGCUGACGAGCGGCGAACGGGUGCGUAAUACAUCGGAAUCUGCCUAGUAGUGGGGAAUAACCCGGCGAAAGCCGGGCUAAUGCCGCAUACGAUCCACGGAUGAAAGCGGGGGACUUUCGGCCUCGCGCUAUUAGAUGAGCCGAUGUCGGAUUAGCUAGUUGG
RNAcentral lists this ribosomal RNA (223 nucleotides) under uncultured bacterium. RNAcentral's name for it is "partial 16S ribosomal RNA". It matches the Rfam family "Bacterial small subunit ribosomal RNA", at positions 30 to 252 of the family's 1533-position model. The record is from RNAcentral.